RNAcentral lists this transfer RNA (93 nucleotides) under bioreactor metagenome. RNAcentral describes it as "tRNA-Ala". The record is from RNAcentral.
CACACCAUUGCCGUGGCGAGGACGGCAAGAUCCCUGGCGGGGACCUACUCCGAAUCGGGGUAUGAAAUCAGUGUCCCAGUCGCUGUGGCGGGG